Molecule: ribosomal RNA, 300 nt
Filed under: uncultured Actinobaculum sp.
Lineage: Bacteria; Bacillati; Actinomycetota; Actinomycetes; Actinomycetales; Actinomycetaceae
Description: bacterial SSU rRNA
Rfam family: Bacterial small subunit ribosomal RNA
Source: RNAcentral
GCUAACGCCGGGCCAGCGGCCGCGGUAAUACUGGGGAGCCAAGGGUUAUCCGGAAUCAUUGGGUUGAAAGGGGCCGUAGGGGGCCUGAUAAGUCAGCGGUGAAAGUUUUUGGCUUAACCAAAAAAUUGCCAUUGAUACUGUAGGGCUUGAAUAUUUGUGAAGUAAAUAGAAUAUGUAGUGUAGCGGUGAAAUGCUUAGAUAUUACAUGGAAUACCAAUUGCGAAGGCAGGUUACUAACAAAUGAUUGACGCUGAUGGACGAAAGCGUGGGUAGCGAACAGGAUUAGAUACCCUGGUAGUC